Mangifera indica (mango) is the source of this 2225-nucleotide RNA transcript. RefSeq lists it as uncharacterized. The record is from RefSeq and is a predicted model, not a curated record. The transcript has 5 exons. NCBI's taxonomy places the organism in Eukaryota, Viridiplantae, Streptophyta, Magnoliopsida, Sapindales, Anacardiaceae.
AAUAGUACCAACAAUGAAGAUCGACAAAAGCCGGAGAAUUUUAGGUUUUUGCCCUUGGUUAUUUUCAUUGUUUAAGGCCACGUGAUAUCACGUGGUUUGAACACGUGGCAUUUCCCGGAACAAGGUAAAUUUUUAAUAUCUCACCUCGACUCCCGCGCAUUUUAAUUUCAAAAAUCGCAACGUUUCACGAAAGGGCGUAGUAAUGAGCGAGAAGGCAAAUACGUAGAAAUGAGGCAUAAACAAUGGCGAUUGAUAACAGAUUUGGCAAGCCAAUACGUUCAAUCUGCCACGAAUAUCUCAAGCUAAUCGUCCAAGACCUGCAAGUUAUCUCGAUUUGCGGCCACGUCUUCCAUGAACUUUGUUGGUUGGUGAUCAAACCGAAACGUUGGUUUCACAGAAGAGGAAAGAUUGUGACGCAGAAGGGCCAGAGGCUUUGCUUGCUAAAGUUAAGAGUCUGGAGGUCAAGGCAUCGAGCCUCAGUUCGGCCUUGGAGAGUCAAGAGGAGCUUAAAGAAAUCAAUGAGGAGGAAGCGUACAAAGGAAGAAGUAGCACUGAGGAAUGAGGUUCUGCGAGAAAACAUACAUUCAACAACUGCUUCAUUUAAAAUCCCAGUGUAUCAGAUUUGAACCUGGAUGAAAAUGAAGUUUUAAAGUUUGUCUCUUUGAGUAAUGGCGCUAACAACGAAGAUACAAUUGAUGUUCUGAGAAAGUCCCCGGUCAUUCGAAACUGACAAGAGUACGAGAACUGGAGAUAGCAGGAGAAGUAAAAUAUAAUGAAGUUUUGAGGUAUUUGAAAGCCUUAAAGAAAACCAGUUGAGAAAAUGAUAUUCUGAAUGGCACUAUCGAUUACUCCAAAUUUUGUACAAGUAAUCAUAUCUCAGAAGAUUUUGUCGCAAUGUCAUCCAUAACCCCACUCUGUCGAGAUUAAAUGCAAAUCUUGUUGACAUCAAAGAAGUUGCAGGGUGUGGGCCUCAUAAUCUGCUUGUGAAUCUGGUUUCAAGAUCUAGUGCCAAUGAUAAUAACAGUUCUGCUCUUGCUGCUGCUAUAGAGGCAGUAAUUUUGAUUGCUGAUGAUGAUGAAGACUUUGAACAAGUUCAACCUGUCCUCAGCAUCAGAAAAGAGUCUCCAAUGCCAGUUCCUCUUUCUAAAUCAGCUAAUAUAAUGGUCAGUGCAAUUUUGAGUUUUAUGUAAGGGUAUCAGACUGCUGAUUGAGCUAGAAUUUUGUGAUUCAAUUACUUUAACCAAAUGCCUUUUUAGCUGUUAAGAUCAUUUCAAAUUAACUUGUAAAGAAAUCCAAGUGAUAUAUGCUUUUCUAGAGGAUUGUUUAGUCCUGAUGGGACAAACCCGUACUUGGGGAAAUGGUGGAACCGUGGCCAAACAUGCGAGGUUCAAUUCAAAACAGUGGAGAUUUGAUUGCUGUUGGAGCUGAUGGGAGAGGUGGCAGAAUCAAAGUCCUGAAAUCUCUAAAUCAAUCUUCAAAGGUGGCCUAUAAACACUCAGUUUCCCAUUCAAAUUACUUUUGUCUGGAGCAUUGUACUUGAUCUGUAAGCUGUAUCCUCUAUCAGUUCAUUACUCCUAGCAGAUAGUUUUGUUUUAGGAUUUGGCUAAUUUUUUGAAUUUCGACAAAUGAACAUUUGAAUGUUAUCUUAAAUAUUCUUGCUGUUAACUUUAAUUUUUUAGUGAAUAAAAGAAUUUUGAUCAUUUUACCCAUAGACAUGUUUGGUCAGUAAAUUUCUUUUUCUUCAACUUUAGUUUUUUGGUUCUUUUUCUGGUAUCCUCUAAUCCAAUUUGUGGGUUUGCAUCUACCUCUUUCAUGCAGGAUGGUAAAGAGAAUUUGCUUUGUGCAAAAUAUGGAUCAAAGACAAGUAAUGUGCAGUCCCAUGGGUGGUUGCAAGUUGCAAAUAGAACACUUCUUUGGAAUGAGCAGCCAGUAAUUCAAAGCACACAUCACUGUUGAUAACUUCUUAAUUAGGACUAUAUUUUGAGGGCACAAAUAAAAGGUUUAAGUUCUUUUCUUUCCAGCAAUAUGCUGAAAAGAAAAUUCCAGAGAAAUAGGCAAUUGAGGUUGAUGUCUCUAAAGUAAAUCCACCUUUCAAAUAACAUUUUUCAGGUUUAGACUUUUCUCGUACAUUCCUCACAUUAGUAGCAUUGAAGUUCAAUCUGUACAGGCAUACGACUCAAGCGGUACAUGGACUUGAAGGAACAUCAGUGUAGAGGAUGAGGUUA